Lactuca sativa (garden lettuce) is the source of this 590-nucleotide long non-coding RNA. RefSeq lists it as uncharacterized. Lineage: Eukaryota; Viridiplantae; Streptophyta; Magnoliopsida; Asterales; Asteraceae. The record is from RefSeq and is a predicted model, not a curated record.
UCUUUCAACUUCUCGGUAAUUUCAAAUCAACGUUAGCUGCUCCCGCGCUACACAACGCGCCAUUCAUCUCCUUCCCAAAGUCGAUAAUCAUCUCCAUCCAAGGUAGUCCACUGCAAGGCAUCAUUCAUCACACAAGGCGCCGUUCAUCUCCUUCCAAAAUUGUACACGGGAGCCUUCUUUUUUCAUUUCCUUUCAUCAACAUCCCCUUCUUCUCUAUCCUACCCAUUUCUCCUCCAUCUACAAUAUCCCGUCUGCCCCGCUCCAAUCUGCAACACCGCCACCAUCAGCUUCCCCUCAACCUCUGUCAACUUCGACAACCAUGCCUCCGCCUCCGCAAACUUCUGUAGGACAAAUGAAGAUUAGGCAGUUAUUGAUCUGAAGAAAAGGUGUCUAAUUGAGAUUAAGAUUUUCAAUAGAAAGCUAAUAAAUAUGUAUGAUAGGGCUAAUCAGUAAGUGAUUCCAUUGUGUUGCAUAUUAAAAUUUGUACAUCACAACUAGUAGAAGAACCUGUCAUUCGAGAACAAAGAUUUUACAUGAAGGGGAUUGUUGUUGGAACUUGGAAAUGUUUCUAAUAGACAUCAUUCCUAAUA